UGGUUGGUUGGUUUGCGCCAACUUAAACAUUUUGCAAUAACUUUUGCUAUAUUGAAUAUAGCAACUUGAUAUUUGGCAUGCAUGAGUAUCUCAUGGAGCUGCACAUUUUGAGUGGUGAAAGGUCAGAGGUCAAAUAUAUGUGGCCUAAAUUGCUCAUUUUAUGAAUACUUUUGCAAUAUUGAAGAUAGCAACUCGAUAUUUGGCAUGCAUGUGUAUCUCAUGGAGCUGCACAUUUUGAGUGGUGAAAGGUCAAAGUCAAGGUCAUCCUUCAAGGUCAGAGGUAAAACAUAUUUGUCCCAAAUCGCUUAUUUUAUUAAUACUUUUGAAAUAUUGAAGAUAGCAACUUGAUAUUUGGCAUGCAUGUGUAUCUCAUGGAGCUGCACAAUUUGAGUGGUGAAAGGUCAAGGUCAUCCUUCAAGGUCAAGGUCAUCCUUAAAGGUCAAAUAUAUGGGUCAAAAUUGCUCAUGUAAUGUCACUUCUGCAAUAUUGAAGCUAGCAAUUUUAUAUUUGAAAUGCAUGUGUAUCUCAUGGAGCUGCACAUUUUGAGUGGUGAAGGGUCAAGGUCAUCCUUCAAGGUCAAACAUUAUUUAGGGGGACAUUGUGUUUCACAAACGCAUCUUGUUUCAAAUUAUCUUUAUUCAACAACAUUUUGUAUAACGAUAAAACAACUCACUCUUAGAGAUACGUCUAGUAGUGAUGCACUGCUUUCAACCAACAAACCAUCUGCCUCGUUCUCGAAACUCAAGUCUGGUGAACGGUUAUCUGACAUUUCCUCAGUUUCUGGUGUGGAAUUCGUCUCAUCUGCUUCAGGGCCAUUUUCCAGAGUCUGUAAGGUAAACAAAUAAAAUUAAAUCAGCACAUCAAAGACCUAGAAAUACACAUACUUUUUCAAACUAACAUGAAAGAAUGAUGUUCAGAUACGUAAUAUUUAUGCUUCUGUAUCAUGUUGUAAACACCGUCAGAUUCUAUACCGAUAGAGUAACUGACCCAUGUUCAUUCUUGAAACCUCGUAUAGCCUAGUGGCAACAUAUCCGCUUCAAAAUAUCAGAUACCAUUGGUUCGAUCCUCGGCUGUGAGCUACAUAAAAUAAAUCAUGAACUGUGCCAUGGGUAUGUCUGCCAUUAUCCCAUGCUUGAUUGUACCACAAGGAAUCACUGAUUUGAAUAGUAAGCUCGAUUUAAUAAUCCAUCGGAAUCGUUUUAAGGUGAUAAUCUGAUUACACGCAGUGCGCAAUCUGAUUAUGUGAUGACUUAAAUUAGUAUAAGUAUUAA
Dreissena polymorpha is the source of this 1271-nucleotide long non-coding RNA. RefSeq lists it as uncharacterized. NCBI's taxonomy places the organism in Eukaryota, Metazoa, Mollusca, Bivalvia, Myida, Dreissenidae. The transcript is spliced from 2 exons. The record is from RefSeq and is a predicted model, not a curated record.